UCGCGAAUUUUUCACAAUGGGCGCAAGCCUGAUGAAGCCACGCCGCGUGCGGGAUGAAGGCCCUCUGGGUUGUAAACCGCUGUCAGGGAAGGGGAACCGUGUAGCGUUAACAGCGCUGCAUCUGACUGCUUUCCAAAGGAAGCCCCGGCAAAACAUGUGCCAGCAGCCGCGGUAAUACAUGUGGGGCAAGCGUUGUUCGGAAUUACUGGGCAUAAAGGGUGCGUAGGUGGCGUUGUAAGUCAGGGGUGAAAUCCGACGGCCCAACCGUCGAACUGCCUUUGAUACUGCGAUGCUUGAGUGCGUGAGGGGUGACCGGAACGAGUGGUGUAGCGGUGAAAUGCGUAGAUAUCACUCGGAAGGCCAAAGGCGAAGGCAGGUCACUGGUACGCAACUGACACUGAGGCACGAAAGCGUGGGGAGCAAACAGG
RNAcentral lists this ribosomal RNA (428 nucleotides) under uncultured bacterium. RNAcentral's name for it is "bacterial SSU rRNA". It matches the Rfam family "Bacterial small subunit ribosomal RNA", at positions 355 to 776 of the family's 1533-position model. The record is from RNAcentral.